RNAcentral lists this transfer RNA (72 nucleotides) under Stegodyphus mimosarum. It matches the Rfam family "tRNA". From Rfam's summary of the family: Transfer RNA (tRNA) molecules are approximately 80 nucleotides in length. The record is from Rfam by way of RNAcentral. Lineage: Eukaryota; Metazoa; Arthropoda; Arachnida; Araneae; Eresidae.
GCCUUCAUGGUGUAAUUAGAAAUACAUCUGACUAGCAAUCAGGAGGUUUAGAGUUCAAAUCCCUCGAGGGCA